GAUGAACGCUAAUACCGCAUAAUAUAUCCGGGUGGCAUCGCCUGGAUAUCAAAGGAGUAAUCCGCUUUUUGAUGGGCUCGCGCCCGAUUAGGUAGUUGGUGGGGUAAUGGCCCACCAAGCCGACGAUCGGUAGCCGGACUGAGAGGUUGAUCGGCCACAUUGGGACUGAGACACGGCCCAGACUCCUACGGGAGGCAGCAGUGGGGGAUAUUGCACAAUGGGGGAAACCCUGAUGCAGCGACGCCGCGUGGGUGAAGACGGCCUUCGGGUUGUAAAGCCCUGUUGAGGGGGACGAUAAUGACGGUACCCCUUUAGAAAGCCACGGCUAACUACGUGCCAGCAGCCGCAGUAAUAC
RNAcentral lists this ribosomal RNA (355 nucleotides) under uncultured bacterium. RNAcentral's name for it is "bacterial SSU rRNA". It matches the Rfam family "Bacterial small subunit ribosomal RNA", at positions 155 to 526 of the family's 1533-position model. The record is from RNAcentral.